RNAcentral lists this ribosomal RNA (477 nucleotides) under uncultured bacterium. RNAcentral describes it as "SSU rRNA". It matches the Rfam family "Bacterial small subunit ribosomal RNA", at positions 26 to 518 of the family's 1533-position model. The record is from RNAcentral.
AGGGUAAACGCUGGCGGCGUGCCUAAAACAUGCAAGUCGAACGAGUCGUCUUCGGACGGCGAGUGGCAGACGGCUGAGUAACGCGUGGGUGACGUACCCGUAGGUGGGGAAUAACUGCCCGAAAGGGUGGCUAAGACCGCAUACGCCCGUGGAUUCGAGACCAUGGGGAAAAACCUCCUGUGACAAGGAGGUUGCCGAUGGAGCGGCCCGCGUUCGAUUAGCUGGUUGGUGGGGUAACGGCCUACCAAGGCGACGAUCGAUAGCUGGUCUUAGAGGAUGAUCAGCCAGACUGGGACUGAGACACGGCCCAGACUCCUACGGGAGGCAGCAGUUAGGAAUUUUGGGCAAUGGGCGAAAGCCUGACCCAGCAACGCCGCGUGGGUGACGAAGGCCUUCGGGUUGUAAAGCCCUUUUCUGGGGGAAGAUAGUGACGGUACCCCAGGAAGAAGCACCGGCUAACUACGUGCCAGCAGCCGC